GUUGGUAUGGUUCACCGAAGAUGUUAUAGCAUGGUUUGUUCACACGGGUGUUUUCGUGCAUUCCUACAUUAACUACUUUCCUCUUUCAGUAUAGUAUUGGCUUUUCAAUAAAAGUGUAUCAAUAGAUAGGGCAAGUUUCUGAACACUAAAUAUAGGGCUCUCUGCUUCGGGUAAUUCUUUUUUAGGCUUCUCUGGAUCUGGAAAAGUCCAUAGGGGCGGUGGCAUGGAAGGCCAUAUUCUACAUUUUGUAAU
Molecule: long non-coding RNA, 252 nt
Filed under: Musa acuminata (dwarf banana)
Lineage: Eukaryota; Viridiplantae; Streptophyta; Magnoliopsida; Zingiberales; Musaceae
Description: long non-coding RNA (MACU_LNC008304)
Source: RNAcentral